AGAAAGAGAAAGAGAGAGAGAGAGAGAGAUGAGAACUCUAUUGAACUUCACUGAAGAUUAUCUACAACACAAAUUCAAUGGGAAUGACCUGAGGCGGUGAUUACUGGGGGAUGUAUCGCUUGUUUCAAGCUGUUCUCCUGCGCCAGAGGGGACAGUGAGCUGUGGCGGGAUGCAGCGGAGCAGCUUGGACGAGUGCAGCGGAGGGGCCGCUUCCACAUCUCCAUGUGCAAGAGUACAACACAGCUACAAGUGCCUAAGCCCCCGGGAAUGACAAAUUAUUAUUAUUAUUAUAUUAUUAUAAAUUGACCAUUAUAAUACUACAACACAGAAGCUCCCAUGCAGAAGUUGAGUUAUAGAUCCUGUGUUGUAGGUUUUUCUGCAUCCUCUUGAAAGGUGCAUUUUUUCUUUGCUUUUAACUCAAGCUCCAAGGCACUGAAUACAUACAUUAUUAAUAAGACAUACAGUAUUAAUAGCAUGCAAAUAAAGCUUGCACCAUGCGUUAUCAGACAUCUGCAAAUGAAAAGAGGAUGCGCCUAAAUGUGAUGUUAAGCAACACGGAGGCCCUGGGGCCAUUUACUUCUCUUCUAUUCAACAAUUUACAUGGUGACAGGUGGGGAGGACAUAACCUGCGGGUUAUGGCUGCGUGUUUCCCCAAAGGAAUCUUGUGCUUUUUGUGUGAGUGUGUAUAGGAGUGCUGAGCCGAUGAUAGUCUUAUGGGACACAGAUAAGUGAAUCUGAAGAUGGCUAUUGUAGAAUGGGUAUCUGGUGUAAGUAAGCUUGAGUGUGGUUAUAGACUGGGGUUAUAUAGUGUGGUACCCCGGAAUGAGGUGACAUUUUUUAUCACAGGCUUAAGCCUUGUGAAUUAAAGGGCUAUUUCUUGUUGUAUCAUAUAUUUGAUAUGACACAUCUAUACAUUAUAGUAGUCAUGGUUACAUAGCGUUCACAUCCCCAUGGCCAUAUCUGCGUAGGUUAGACAUUAAAAAUGACAGCAGCGGUGGAUUCAUAUUCCUAACAAACUGGUUGUUUUGAAAGAGAAAAAAAUAGCGACCUGUUGCAAAUCAUGCAUGGAUGCCAACAGUGGAAUUUUCCAUUUGACAUCAAAAACAUUUAUGUGCCAGUCUCAGUAUUUGGCAGGAUGGUUUAAAAAGAAAAAUGAAGUCAAGAAUCGAGUGUACCCCCUGCAACGGUCUCCGUAAGAGUGGGAUCUAGGACAGCAGAAUAAUGGAAUCUUGGCACAAGGUUUAUCAGAUUAGGAGAUUAUGUGGAACACCUACAUCGGAGAUUGCACAUUACACGCUUGACUUACACAGCAGGCCAGUGUCCCACUUAGUGGCCUACUCAUUCUUCAUCCUAUUAUGUGUGACUCUCCAAUACAUUGUCUCGCUGAAGCUGAAGUACCAUUACGCAUACCAUUAUUAUGUGUGCUUCUCUCGCUCUCCCUCUCCAACUCACUUUGGACUCACUCCUCUUUACCCUCCUCUAUACUGUGUUUCUGGCACUCUUCUCCACUACUGUGCCCCCAUUUCACUUUUUCUCUCUUUUCGAUCUCGCCAUUCAAGACAGAUGUCAGCUCCUCCAACAUUAAUCCAUCACAUCUCUAAAACACCAUGUACCGCUCACUCAGAUACAAGCUCUUCGUAGGACCUACAUCCCCAACGCUCUCGGGACAGGUGGGGUUUACGCGAAACUCCACACAUCUGACGACCCCAACACCGUUGCGGUGUGUCUGCGUGCGAGAGAGAGGCACUCAUCCAAGUUUGCCAUCCCAGCUAUCUGUCAGGCCGAUAAGUGGACUCGUGUCUAGGUGUCAUCUGUCACGCGUCCCGGUGGUAGCUGAGAGCCUCUCUCAGCCCACCUCCCGUCCGGGAACGCUUGAUUAAUCUCCAGCUAAGCUGUCGUUUGAGUGAUAGCCGCAGGGAUGUAAGUGCUCGCCACCACAAGUGGAAGAGAGUGUGAGCUUUUGUGUGUGUGUCCUCUCAACCCCUCCAACCCACCCCCCCGCUCCCGCCACCCCCAUCAAUGUCUGUCUGAUGGGUGUUGGAGGAUCUCUGUCAUGCUUUAAUCACCCUGGUCCAGAUGGGAUGAGCGAAAGGUUUCCAUCUGAGAUGGGGAGAGCGACUGUUAGCGUGUGUUGAGUGCUCUUUCGCCUGCUUUCAAAAGCGCCGAGGCAUUCACCGCGCUCCUCCGCUGGCAUGCCCAUAAACGGCAUAAAAUAUGGCUGGAUGGGACAGAGCAGCUCUCGGCUCUUCCAAACACAACGUCAAAACAUGACAAAGUGAAGGAACCUGGUCUGAGAGAUCCCACGGAGGCGUGCGGAGAGCUCACAGCACUUUCACAGCUUCGCUGGUGACGGACAAAGUGAGAGUUGUCGCAGACAGUCACAGACUUCUGCCCGUACAGACUUAAGGAGCCAGCCACUCUUUGAAGUGUCACCGACGGAGAGCUCUGUCGGGAGACACACCGCAGGCCCAGUCGCUGCUGUGGGACUCCCUGCGUGUGGCUAACAUGUUUAGAGCCCCCGGAGAAAUUCCUGACAGGUCAGCCAAAGGUUUUUGAGGCAUAGACGUGUUGACCCAUGAAGGCCUGAGCGCUCGCAGAUAAACAGAGCUGAGCAUGCAUGGUUUUUCUCCCAUAAGAGGACGAGAGUGUGAGUGAAUCCCUGUAAAGCAUAACACAGGCGUAAACACCAGCACUCCGAUUCCAUGUUUUUUUUUUUUCAAACACACAGACAGAGAGAGAGAGAGAGAGAGACUUAGUUCAUAAACUCCCUGAUUCCAUGUUGUUUUUCACACAGUGAGAGAGAUCGGAAGAGCACAC
Molecule: long non-coding RNA, 2817 nt
Organism: Clupea harengus (Atlantic herring)
Lineage: Eukaryota; Metazoa; Chordata; Actinopteri; Clupeiformes; Clupeidae
Exons: 3
Source: RefSeq, a predicted model, not a curated record